RNAcentral lists this ribosomal RNA (253 nucleotides) under uncultured bacterium. Its description in RNAcentral is "partial 16S ribosomal RNA". It matches the Rfam family "Bacterial small subunit ribosomal RNA", at positions 524 to 776 of the family's 1533-position model. The record is from RNAcentral.
UACGAGGGGGGCGAGCGUUGUCCGGAAUUAUUGGGCGUAAAGGGCGCGUAGGCGGUUGGAUAAGUCUUGUGUGAAAUCUUCGGGCUCAACUCGAAGUCUGCACGAGAAACUAUCUGGCUUGAGUGUGGGAGAGGUGAGUGGAAUUCCUGGUGUAGCGGUGAAAUGCGCAGAUAUCAGGAAGAACACCCGUGGCGAAAGCGGCUCUCUGGAACGGUACUGACGCUGAGACGCGAAAGCGUGGGGAGCGAACAGG